AACGAACGCUGGCGGCAGGCCUAACACAUGCAAGUCGAGCGAGAUCUUCGGGUCUAGCGGCGGACGGGUGAGUAACGCGUGGGAAUAUGCCUCUUGGUACGGAAUAGCCUCGGGAAGCUGGGAGUAAUACCGUAUGUGCCCUUUGGGGAAAGAUUUAUCGCCAAGAGAUUAGCCCGCGUUGGAUUAGGUAGUUGGUGGGGUAAUGGCCUACCAAGCCGACGAUCCAUAGCUGGUUUGAGAGGAUGAUCAGCCACACUGGGACUGAGACACGGCCCAGACUCCUACGGGAGGCAGCAGUGGGGAAUCUUAGACAAUGGGGGCAACCCUGAUCUAGCCAUGCCGCGUGAGUGAUGAAGGCCUUAGGGUUGUAAAGCUCUUUCAGCUGGGAAGAUAAUGACGGUACCAGCAGAAGAAGCCCCGGCUAACUCCGUG
This 432-nucleotide ribosomal RNA is filed under the name uncultured bacterium. RNAcentral's name for it is "partial 16S ribosomal RNA". It matches the Rfam family "Bacterial small subunit ribosomal RNA", at positions 29 to 507 of the family's 1533-position model. The record is from RNAcentral.